Molecule: long non-coding RNA, 1458 nt
Filed under: Gadus morhua (Atlantic cod)
Lineage: Eukaryota; Metazoa; Chordata; Actinopteri; Gadiformes; Gadidae
Description: lncRNA (ENSGMOG00000025358.1)
Source: RNAcentral
GUAUUAUUGAAUAAUAGUGUAAGGAAUGCCUUUAUUUUGUAGUAACCUGAUGACGUCUGUACCGGGGGGAGUCCCGUGCAUGCGCACACUAGUGUACGGUUACGGCUGGAGAAGAAGCCUAAUAAAGACACACUCCGAUUACGUCGUUGUACGAGCCUUAUUACAAGAAUAACCCGACAUGGUGUCAGAACUGGGCGACUUGUAAGCGGAGUCAAAAGGAAAAAAAAAUAGAAAGACGAGGAAGAGGAAAGUAUAUAGUUUACGCGGGAAUGGGAGAUGAGCCGGCAGCUAUGGCGCAACCUACACCAACUGCUACGUUCACAAUACAACCUCCAGAGCCUUACAAAGCCUCAAGAUUGGGAGCGUUGGAUAAGGAGAUUCGACCGCUUUCGGCUUGCAAGCAACUUAAACGCGACGUCGGAAGAAAACCAGGUGAACACGUUAGUGUAUUGCAUGGGCGAUGAAGCUGAAGAUGUGCUUAAAGGGCUAACGCUAACUGCGGAUGAGAGGAAGGGGUACACGGAUGUCAAGGCGGGCUUGGAUGCAUUUUUUGUGCCUAAAAGGAAUGUAAUUUACGAAAGAGCCAAGUUCAAUCAGCGUGUGCAACUGCCAGGAGAGACGGUGGAUUCCUUCAUCACUGCUCUAUACGGAUUAGCUGAACACUGUAAAUAUGGACAGUUAAGGAACGAGCUGAUCCGCGACAGGUUAGUGGUCGGGCUGAGCAACGUCUCAUUGUCAGAAAAGCUACAGCUAGACAGAGACCUUACCCUUGAAACUGCUAUAACUAAGACAAGGCAGUCUGAAGAAGUUAGAAGACAGCAGUCUGACUUAAGAGGAGAAAAUAGCGGUGCAAGCAGGUGCUCUAAUGUUGAUGCUGUGCAUGCUAAAAGCUACAGAAAAUUUCCCUCAAAGCCUCAGGCACAAUCACCAGGCAGAAGUAAACCUAAUGCAUGGCCACAGUCAGGCUCAAAGGCCUGUUAUAGAUGUGGAAAAAUGCCCUCGCAUGGAAUAAUGGAAUGCCCUGCUAAAGAUGCUGUGUGUCACAACUGUGGCAAAAAUGGACAUUAUGGCAAGGUGUGCAGAAACAGUGCGAAAUCUCUGAAUGCUGUCACUACAGGGGAAGAAGAGUGCUUUUUCCUGGGGGCCGUGGAUUCUGGAGAAGACCCGUGGACGGUGCAGCUACAAGUGAGACAAAAAACAUUGUGCUUCAAAAUAGACACUGGUGCUGAUGUCACCGCCCUGCCAGCCGAGGUGUACCAUGACAUUACAGGGGGGCAUGAUGUGAAGCACCUGGCAGAGUCGACACGCCCAUUGUUUGGGCCAGGUGGCAAUGUACUCUCUGUCCUAGGUGUAGCCAGAGAAACACUGCACUGUGGCAAAAAGACAGCCAUAGAGGACAUUUAUGUCGUAAAAGACCUGCACACUGCACUGUUGGGAAGGCCUGCCAUAGAAAAGCUU